This 468-nucleotide ribosomal RNA is filed under the name uncultured bacterium. RNAcentral's name for it is "partial 16S ribosomal RNA". It matches the Rfam family "Bacterial small subunit ribosomal RNA", at positions 28 to 507 of the family's 1533-position model. The record is from RNAcentral.
GACGAACGCUGGCGGCGUGCUUAACACAUGCAAGUCGAACGGAAAGGCCCUGCUUUUGUGGGGUGCUCGAGUGGCGAACGGGUGAGUAACACGUGAGUAACCUGCCCUUGACUUUGGGAUAACUUCAGGAAACUGGGGCUAAUACCGGAUAGGAGCUCCUGCUGCAUGGUGGGGGUUGGAAAGUUUCGGCGGUCGGGGAUGGACUCGCGGCUUAUCAGCUUGUUGGUGGGGUAGUGGCUUACCAAGGCUUUGACGGGUACCCGGCCUGGGAGGGUGACCGGCCACAUGGGGACUGAGGGAGGGCGCAGACUCCUACGGGAGGCAGCAGUGGGAAAUAUUGCACAAUGGGCGGAAGCGUGAUGCAGAAACGCCGCGUGCGGAAUGACGGCCUUCGGGUUGUAAGCCGCUUUCGGCUGUGACGAAGCGUGAGUGACGGUAAUGGGUAAAGAAGCACCGGCUAACUACGUG